GAUGAACGCUGGCGGCGUGCCUAAUACAUGCAAGUCGAGCGAACAGACGAGGAGCUUGCUCCUCUGACGUUAGCGGCGGACGGGUGAGUAACACGUGGAUAACCUACCUAUAAGACUGGGAUAACUUCGGGAAACCGGAGCUAAUACCGGAUAAUAUAUUGAACCGCAUGGUUCAAUAGUGAAAGACGGUUUUGCUGUCACUUAUAGAUGGAUCCGCGCCGCAUUAGCUAGUUGGUAAGGUAACGGCUUACCAAGGCAACGAUGCGUAGCCGACCUGAGAGAGUGAUAGGCGACACUGGAACUGAGACACGGUCCAGACUCCUACGGGAGGCAGCAGAAGGGAAUCUUCCGCAAAGGGCGAAAGCCUGACGGAGCAACGCCGCGUGAGUGAUGAAGGUCUUCGGAUCGUAAAACUCUGUUAUUAGGGAAGAACAAAUGUGUAAGUAACUAUGCACGUCUUGACGGUACCUAAUCAGAAAGCCACGGCUAACUACGUG
This 497-nucleotide ribosomal RNA is filed under the name uncultured bacterium. Its description in RNAcentral is "partial 16S ribosomal RNA". It matches the Rfam family "Bacterial small subunit ribosomal RNA", at positions 28 to 507 of the family's 1533-position model. The record is from RNAcentral.